GAUGAGCGCUGGCGGCGUGCUUAACACAUGCAAGUCGAACGGAAAGGCCCAAGCUUGCUUGGGUACUCGAGUGGCGAACGGGUGAGUAACACGUGGGUGAUCUGCCCUGCACUUCGGGAUAAGCCUGGGAAACUGGGUCUAAUACCGGAUAGGACCACAUUUUGGAUGGUGUGGUGGAAAGUUUUUCGGUGUGGGAUGAGCUCGCGGCCUAUCAGCUUGUUGGUGGGGUAAUGGCCUACCAAGGCGUCGACGGGUAGCCGGCCUGAGAGGGUGUACGGCCACAUUGGGACUGGGAUACGGCCCAGACUCCUACGGGAGGCAGCAGUGGGGAAUAUUGCACAAUGGGCGCAAGCCUGAUGCAGCGACGCCGCGUGGGGGAUGACGGCCUUCGGGUUGUAAACUCCUUUCGCUAGGGACGAAGCGCAAGUGACGGUACCUGGAGAAGAAGCACCGGCUAACUACGUG
Molecule: ribosomal RNA, 465 nt
Filed under: uncultured bacterium
Lineage: Bacteria
Description: partial 16S ribosomal RNA
Rfam family: Bacterial small subunit ribosomal RNA
Source: RNAcentral